This 460-nucleotide ribosomal RNA is filed under the name uncultured bacterium. RNAcentral describes it as "partial 16S ribosomal RNA". It matches the Rfam family "Bacterial small subunit ribosomal RNA", at positions 338 to 795 of the family's 1533-position model. The record is from RNAcentral.
CCUACGGGGGGCAGCAGUGAGGAAUAUUGGUCAAUGGACGCAAGUCUGAACCAGCCAUGCCGCGUGCAGGAUGACGGCUCUAUGAGUUGUACACUGCUUUUGUACGAGGGUAAACCCCGAUACGUGUAUCGGUUUGAAAGUAUCGUACGAAUAAGGAUCGGCUGACUCCGUGCCAGCAGCCGCGGUAAUACGGAGGAUCCGAGCGUUAUCCGGCUUUAUUGGGUUUAAAGGGUGGGUAGGCGGGUUGGUACGUUAGAGGUGAAAUGUCGGGGCUCAACCCCGAAACUGCGUCGCAUACUGUUGGACUAGAGUAUAGUUGGGGUAGGCGGAAUGUAUGGUGUAGCGGUGAAAUGCUUAGAGAUCAUGAAGAACACCGAUUGCGAAGGCAGCUUACCAAACUAUAUCUGACGUUGAGGCACGAAAGCGUGGGUAGCAAACAGGAUUAGAUACCCGAGUAGUC